UACGUAGGGUGCAAGCGUUGUCCGGAAUUAUUGGGCGUAAAGAGCUCGUAGGCGGUUUGUCGCGUCGAAUGUGAAAACCCGGGGCUCAACCCCGGGCCUGCAUUCGAUACGGGCAGACUAGAGUUCGGUAGGGGAGACUGGAAUUCCUGGUGUAGCGGUGGAAUGCGCAGAUAUCAGGAGGAACACCGAUGGCGAAGGCAGCUCGCUGGGACGGUACUGACGCUGAGGCGCGAAAGCGUGGGGAGCAAACAGG
This 253-nucleotide ribosomal RNA is filed under the name uncultured bacterium. Its description in RNAcentral is "partial 16S ribosomal RNA". It matches the Rfam family "Bacterial small subunit ribosomal RNA", at positions 524 to 776 of the family's 1533-position model. The record is from RNAcentral.